RNAcentral lists this ribosomal RNA (275 nucleotides) under uncultured bacterium. RNAcentral describes it as "partial 16S ribosomal RNA". It matches the Rfam family "Bacterial small subunit ribosomal RNA", at positions 399 to 691 of the family's 1533-position model. The record is from RNAcentral.
GCGUGAGUGAUGAAGGCCCUAGGGUUGUAAAGCUCUUUCACCGGUGAAGAUAAUGACGGUAACCGGAGAAGAAGCCCCGGCUAACUUCGUGCCAGCAGCCGCGGUAAUACGAAGGGGGCUAGCGUUGUUCGGAAUUACUGGGCGUAAAGCGCACGUAGGCGGAUUGUUAAGUGAGGGGUGAAAUCCCAGGGCUCAACCCUGGAACUGCCUCUCAUACUGGCAAUCUUGAGUAUGGAAGAGGUGAGUGGAAUUCCGAGUGUAGAGGUGAAAUUCGU